This 87-nucleotide non-coding RNA is filed under the name Pseudomonas lurida. Lineage: Bacteria; Pseudomonadati; Pseudomonadota; Gammaproteobacteria; Pseudomonadales; Pseudomonadaceae. The record is from RNAcentral.
UGUAGGAGCGGGCUUGCCUGCGAUGGCGCCACCUCGGUUUGAUUGAGCGACCGAGUCGCCUGGAUCGCAGGCAAGCCAGCUCCCACA